UUACUUCCAGCUUCCUGAUAGUUUGCUUCUUGAACAAAAUAAAGGUCUCACCUGUAUACACAAGGUACCAGAUUAUUUGCACAAAAGUAAGAGAUAAGGACAUAAUUAAGGUGAUGAACUUACCUAAGAGCUCUCCAUUCAGACCCAGCUGUGCAGAGUUCAUUUGCAAAGUUAGUCGAUGUAGAGAGCUCAGAGUCAGUACCUAUAUCCUCAAAGUGAGUAUUACGGCAUAAACAAUGACCAAAACCAAAUCAAUAUCCACACAAAACAGCAAGAGAAUCACACCAUAUCCAAAUACUAGAUCACAAGGAAAUUCCCUUGUCAAAUUGAAGUUCCUUCCAGUUGCAUUAGCUUUCAAUGCAGAGAAAGUCGAAUUAUAUCAAAUUGAUGGUUGAAUGACUGUGUCCUCUUAGAGUAAGGUGAUGAGAUAUGUACAGAACAGUAGCUAUAUGAAUAGAUAUCUAUACCUGUAGCUGCAACAUUUAUGCUUCCUUGAUAUCAAAUAAGGCAAAAUUCUACCAAGUCUAGGGGAAAGUACCUGAAAAAAACAUACAACUACUUAAAUCUUGAUUACAUCAAAAUAUGAUAGCGCUAGAACAUAAAAGGUUAUAAAAGUGACAGGUUCAUUUCAGAUUUCAUUUAGGGUAAAGAAAUUUAUAUAGACACACAC
This 670-nucleotide long non-coding RNA is filed under the name Fragaria vesca (wild strawberry). RNAcentral's name for it is "long non-coding RNA (FVES_LNC003475)". Lineage: Eukaryota; Viridiplantae; Streptophyta; Magnoliopsida; Rosales; Rosaceae. The record is from RNAcentral.